This 1449-nucleotide long non-coding RNA is filed under the name Equus asinus (donkey). RNAcentral's name for it is "lncRNA (ENSEASG00005035346.1)". The record is from RNAcentral. Lineage: Eukaryota; Metazoa; Chordata; Mammalia; Perissodactyla; Equidae.
GGCCGCCCCGCCCCUGCCGUCAGCUUCCACGCGUCGCCGCGUCCUGCAGCACUAGGACGCCGGGCGGUCUUCCCCGCUCACCACGAGGAUACCGGGGGGCGCUGGCAGGCCCCCUACUCCUCACCGCCCUUUGUGAAACGCCCCCAAUUGUGUCUCAUAGGCAGAGGCCGGUCUCCGCGGGCGGACAGGGCUGUCCGGACUCUGCGAGGGCUGAAAGGCAAUCAGGGCCAUAAGAGAAGAAUGUGGAGAGCAGGCUGUGUCCUAGUGAAGAUAGAAAACCUGGAGUUGCGGGAACCAUUAUCCGUAAAAAAGGUAUACCUCCCAAAGAGAUAGAUUAGUUGCAGGUAGAAGGCUGAGUUAAGAGGACGGUGUUAUUACCAGAAUAUCAGACUUAGAAGAGAAUUAAAGCUCACUUAAUAAGACCCCCUCAUUUUAUGUAUGAGAUCUGCGGUUACAUAGGUGUGUUCAAGUGCUUGUAGUAAUAAUUGUAGCUCACAUUAGUAUACUCUUGUGUUAAAGCACUUACACAUGGAUUCUCAUUUGGUUCCCUAAACAAUCCUGAAAGGUGUAAUUAGAUAGGCUCCAUAUUUUCCACAGCAAAGCUGGUUCUUGAAUUUAGAUUUUCAGUAUCUUAGAAGCUAAAGUUCUCUGCACUGUAUCACAUUGCCUCAGUUCUUAAUGAAUAACAUAUAUUAAAGAAGAGUAGUGCUUGCUUUUGAAAUGCGAUGAGGAUUUGAGUCAGAAAGAAAAAAACCCUGCAUUUUAACAAGUGGAAAUAACUCCCUCUUAAGUGUGAAAAGUAAUAUAUGCUAGGCUAGUAAAAUAAUUUUUUAGACAAUAUAGGGAAAUAUAAAGAAAAAAGUGAAAACUGUCCCACCACAAAGAGUAACCACUGUUAAAUUCUAAUCUGGGUCUAUUUUAUAUAGAGAGAAUUUUUUCAAAAUUCUAUACGUAUUGUUUUAUAACCUGAAAUACUAUAUUCUUAAAAGAGACUAUACCUCUUUUGCCUCUACCAUAGUAAAAAAGUACCUGCAAGGGCAACAGGCAUAAAAUGGUAAUGUCCUGGACAAACUGGGAUGUAUAGUCCCCUCCCCACCUCCUCUCCCCAACCCACACACACUCUAAUAGCUGACCUGUUAGUAAAGUCUAGGUGAAUAGAUAAAAACUUAUUUGAGGUUAAGUUAAUUUAGGGAGUCAGUGAGUAGUAUAAAGCUUUGUUGUAUCAUUUUCCUGUAGAAUUUGGGAUUAUUGAUUGUUUUGUAGUUUGAUAGAAAAAAACUUUUUCACACUGUACUGGAUUAAAAGAUAAGUAACUCAGAUUUCUUUAAGUAAACAUUAAGAAGAAUAAAGUAUGGUUCUUUUGGAGCACUCUGUAUAUGGGCUCUUUUAGUGUAUUUGUGUGUGUAUGUAACUGUCUCUGAUUAUCAUUAUUAUUGGAGUGGUGGGAGG